UCAGUCGACUCCUACGGGGAGGCAGCAGUGGGGGAAUAUUGCACAAUGGGCGCAAGCCUGAUGCAGCCAUGCCGCGUGUAUGAAGAAGGCCUUCGGGUUGUAAAGUACUUUCAGCAGUGAGGAAGGGUAUCGUAGUUAAUAGCUGCGGUAUUUGACGUUAGCUGCAGAAGAAGCACCGGCUAACUCCGUGCCAGCAGCCGCGGUAAUACGGAGGGUGCGAGCGUUAAUCGGAAUUACUGGGCGUAAAGCGCAUGCAGGUGGUUUGUUAAGUCAGAUGUGAAAGCCCGGGGCUCAACCUCGGAAUUGCAUUUGAAACUGGCAGACUAGAGUACUGUAGAGGGGGGUAGGAAUUUCAGGUGUAGCGGUGAAAUGCGUAGAGAUCUGAAGGAAUACCGGUGGCGAAGGCGGCCCCCUGGACAGAUACUGACACUCAGAUGCGAAAGCGUGGGGAGCAAACAGGAUUAGAUACCCUGGUAG
This 477-nucleotide ribosomal RNA is filed under the name uncultured bacterium. Its description in RNAcentral is "bacterial SSU rRNA". It matches the Rfam family "Bacterial small subunit ribosomal RNA", at positions 328 to 793 of the family's 1533-position model. The record is from RNAcentral.